AGUGAACGCUGGCGGUAGGCCUAACACAUGCAAGUCGAACGGCAGCACAGAGGGACUUGCUCCUUGCGUGUCGCGUGUCGGACGGGUGAGAGAUACAUCUGAAUCUACUCUGUUGCGGGGGAGAACGUAGGGAAACUUACACUAUUACCGCAUACAACCUCCAGGUGAAAGCACAGGAGCUCUUGACAUUGCGCGCGUUAGUAAGCCGAUGUCGGAUUAUCUAGUUGGCGGGGUAAAGGCCCACCAAGGCGAGGAUCCGUAGCUGGUCUGAGAGGAUGAUCAGCCACACUGGAACUGAGACACGGUCCAGACUCCUACGGGAGGCAGCAGUGGGGAAUAUUGGACAAUGGGCGCAAGCCUGAUCCAGCCAUACCGCGUGGGUGAAGAAGGCCUUCGGGUUGUAAAGCCCUUUUGUUGGGAAAGAAAAGCAGCCGGCUAAUACCUGGUUGUGAUGACGGUACCCAAAGAAUAAGCACCGGCUAACUUCGUG
This 490-nucleotide ribosomal RNA is filed under the name uncultured bacterium. RNAcentral describes it as "partial 16S ribosomal RNA". It matches the Rfam family "Bacterial small subunit ribosomal RNA", at positions 29 to 507 of the family's 1533-position model. The record is from RNAcentral.